ACGGAGGUUGCAAGCGUUGUUCGGAAUAACUGGGCGUAAAGGGAGCGCGGGCGGUUCGACCAGUCCAAAGUGAAAGCCCGGGGCUUAACCUCGGAAGUGCUUUGGAUACUAUCGAACUCGAGUUCGUGAGAGGAAAGCGGAAUUCCAGGUGUAGCGGUGAAAUGCGUAGAUAUCUGGAGGAACACCGGUGGCGAAAGCGGCUUUCUGGCACGAUACUGACGCUGAGGCUCGUAAGCAUGGGGAGCGAACA
RNAcentral lists this ribosomal RNA (250 nucleotides) under uncultured bacterium. Its description in RNAcentral is "partial 16S ribosomal RNA". It matches the Rfam family "Bacterial small subunit ribosomal RNA", at positions 525 to 774 of the family's 1533-position model. The record is from RNAcentral.